UAGCUUUGAAAUAAAAUUCUGAAACUCCUCCAUUACGGUCACUGGGGAAUAGUUCACAUGAAGCAACUAACUCGUCAAAACGUCUGGUGGCCAGGUAUCGACGAAGAUAUUGCACAACUAACCAAGAGCUGCAGCGUUUGCAAGAUAGUUCCCGUUUAUAACACAGAUGUCAUCGACUACAACUGCAAAUACAAUAUCUGCACUUACAGCCAUAUUUGCGAUCGAGGGUUACCCAAAAACGUUAGUUAGCGAUAACGGACCGCAACUUACCGCAGAACCAUUUAAGGAUUUUUGCCUUUUGCACGGAAUUAAUCACCUAACAACAGCCCCAUUCCACCCAGCAUCUAAUGGAUUGCAGAUCGUUUUGUGCAAACUUUUAAAACCUCAGUUACUAAAAACAUAAGGGAAGGUAACAUCCAUAGGUGUCAUCAAGCGCCACAUUAACCAGAUCAAACCGAGAUCCGAUUCAGAAGAAAUUGAAGACAAAAGUAUGUUUUGGUGAAUGUUCGAAAAUCCAAGUCCGCAAAAGAUAGUCGCAAACUCUAGACAUGAAGAAAACCAUCGGUUUUUUCAUCACAGCCUCUUCAGUCCAUACCAGUCUCCGAUGAAGUACCAGCAGAGUCAUAGCAAGAAGUCCUUCAAAAGCCACAGAAGCGCCGAUCGGGUAUUCCCAUUCGAAGCAGUACCCGAUCUCGCCAAGUAGUCAACAGAUUCCGGCCCACAGAUAUCAGAAGGCGUAAAACUACUAACAAAAUGAAAUUUUAGCGGAGAGAUGUGAUAUGUAUUGCAAUUUCUAAAAAAUAUUGCAUCAUCCAUUCCUACAAGAGUUCCCUGAAAAUAGCCUUUCUGGCGCAACCUAUAUUUACCAUUGCAUCAUCUAUUUACCUGUACACACAAAUACUAAUAUAACUGAGACAUGUAUAAAAGGAGCCGAACAUAGCCAAACACAAUAACACAAUAUAUUAUUUAUUAAUACGUAUCCACAUAUUGAAGUUUAUGCUCAGUUCAUCUUGAAGUUAUUAAAUCUUGAAGAGUCUUAA
Long non-coding RNA from Drosophila santomea, 1040 nucleotides. RefSeq lists it as uncharacterized. The transcript has 3 exons. The record is from RefSeq and is a predicted model, not a curated record. NCBI's taxonomy places the organism in Eukaryota, Metazoa, Arthropoda, Insecta, Diptera, Drosophilidae.